This 72-nucleotide transfer RNA is filed under the name Ipomoea nil (Japanese morning glory). It matches the Rfam family "tRNA". Rfam says of the family: Transfer RNA (tRNA) molecules are approximately 80 nucleotides in length. Their secondary structure includes four short double-helical elements and three loops (D, anti-codon, and T loops). Further hydrogen bonds mediate the characteristic L-shaped molecular structure. tRNAs have two regions of fundamental functional importance: the anti-codon, which is responsible for specific mRNA codon recognition, and the 3' end, to which the tRNAs corresponding amino acid is attached (by aminoacyl-tRNA synthetases). tRNAs cope with the degeneracy of the genetic code in two manners: having more than one tRNA (with a specific anti-codon) for a particular amino acid; and 'wobble' base-pairing, i.e. permitting non-standard base-pairing at the 3rd anti-codon position. Lineage: Eukaryota; Viridiplantae; Streptophyta; Magnoliopsida; Solanales; Convolvulaceae. The record is from Rfam by way of RNAcentral.
UCUAUUGUAGUCUAGUUGGUUAGGAUACUCGGCUCUCACCGAGAAACCCAGGUUCAAUUCCUGGCAACGGAA